GUAGGUGGCAAGCGUUGUCCGGAAUUAUUGGGCGUAAAGCGCGCGCAGGCGGUUCUUUAAGUCUGAUGUGAAAGCCCACGGCUCAACCGUGGAGGGUCAUUGGAAACUGGAGAACUUGAGUACAGAAGAGGAAAGCGGAAUUCCACGUGUAGCGGUGAAAUGCGUAGAGAUGUGGAGGAACACCAGUGGCGAAGGCGGCUUUCUGGUCUGUAACUGACGCUGAGGCGCGAAAGCGUGGGGAGCAAACAGGGAUUAGAUGCCCUGGUAGUCCACGCCGUAAACGACGAGUGCUAAGUGUUAGGGGGUUUCCGCCCCCUUAGUGCUGCAGCUAACGCAUUAAGCACUCCGCCUGGGGAGUACGGCCGCAAGGCUG
Molecule: ribosomal RNA, 373 nt
Filed under: uncultured organism
Description: partial 16S ribosomal RNA
Rfam family: Bacterial small subunit ribosomal RNA
Source: RNAcentral